CGCUCUUCGCGGGGGGAGGCGAACACCAUCUCUAUGGGAAAUAAUCUCGAUGAUAAACAAGGGGGGACCCGGACGCGAAAAGAUGAAUGGAUGGGGCCAGCGCGACGUCACAGCGAGCUGCAGCCAUGAACCUCAAGACCAGGCGCGAGCCAACCUACAAGCGCUCAGUUGUUCUUGACUCGCUCGGUUGAUUGUUGUGGAGAGCGUUUCUAACCGUGGCUGGCAGACACCGGGGUUUCAAUGGAGAGACAUAUAGGCGCAACAGAGCACGUGGCAUAGGUCAGAAUCUGGCCCGUGCGUAUCACCUGUGGCACAAGAGGAUGGGUAGCCUUAGGGGUUGGUUGUUAUCUUUGGUUAUCUAGCUGUAUGAGUGAUAUACAUUCUUCAUAAAGCUAGAUAACCGAAAGUAACAAGAAUCCCAUUACGCUCCUGAAAGGCAUCAAGACCCCCAACACAUAUCCCCCAUACCGCACCACCCCAUUCUACCAUUCACAGCAAAACAAGCAAAGAAAAUAGCUGACAUCAUAGGACACGGAGCAGAAGAAAAAGUCAAACUACCAACACCACCCGUGACAGAAUUCUGGCAAAAUGAGGCUGAAAAACAGGGAGAGGAAGGAGAGGUUGCUGUUGACUCUGCCUCCCUCUUCUCGCCCUCCUCCGCAUCGCCUCUCCCCUCCUCCCCUCCCUCGCUUCAUCCUCAGCUGCCUGCCCCAUUCUCCUGUACCGCGAGACGCAGCCCACGCCACCAUCUUAGGACGACGCACGCUGGCAUGAAAUGGAAGUGAGGACCAGAGAGAGCAGGCAAAUAAUGGUCCAGAACACUGAAAGAGGGCAGAAAAAACAGCAAGCAGUAAUCCAUUGGGAGAAGAGAAGUUGCC
This is a long non-coding RNA of Coregonus clupeaformis (lake whitefish), 878 nucleotides long. RefSeq lists it as uncharacterized. The transcript has 5 exons. Lineage: Eukaryota; Metazoa; Chordata; Actinopteri; Salmoniformes; Salmonidae. The record is from RefSeq and is a predicted model, not a curated record.